CAGCCGCGGUAAUUCCAGCUCCAAUAGCGUAUAUUAAAGUUGUUGCAGUUAAAAAGCUCGUAGUUGAAGUUCUGAUUGUUCGGGCCUCGCGCUUUAUAGCCGAGGAACCGACAGUCAUCCGCUUGCAAAUAUAUGUUCGCCUUUAACCGGGUGGCUAUAUGAGUAAGCAAUUUACCUUGAGAAAAACAGAGUGUUCCAGGCAGGUUUGUCCGGAAUGCAUUAGCAUGGAAUAAUAGAAUAUGACUGAAGUCGAUUUAUUGGUUUAAGGCUUUAGUAAUGAUUAAUAGGAACAGUCGGGGGCAUUGGUACUUGACAGUCAGAGGUGAAAUUCUAGGAUUUGUCAAAGACUAACAAAUGCGAAAGCAUUUGCCAAGGAUGUUUUCAUUAAUCAAGAACGAAAGUUAGGGGGAUCAAAGACGAUCAGAUACCGUCCUAGUCUUAACUAUAAACUAUACCGACUCGGAUUCAGAUGAAUCAAAAAGUUCAUUUGGGACCGUAGGAGAAAUCAAAGUUUUUGGGUUCUGG
This 525-nucleotide ribosomal RNA is filed under the name uncultured eukaryote. Its description in RNAcentral is "SSU rRNA". It matches the Rfam family "Eukaryotic small subunit ribosomal RNA", at positions 571 to 1117 of the family's 1831-position model. The record is from RNAcentral.